AUCCAGCUGACGAGUCCCGAACAGGACGAAACGUGCAUCCUGGAU
This 45-nucleotide non-coding RNA is filed under the name Schistosoma margrebowiei. The record is from RNAcentral. Lineage: Eukaryota; Metazoa; Platyhelminthes; Trematoda; Strigeidida; Schistosomatidae.